This 86-nucleotide small RNA is filed under the name Flavobacterium noncentrifugens. RNAcentral's name for it is "Flavo-1 RNA". It matches the Rfam family "Flavo-1 RNA". The record is from Rfam by way of RNAcentral. Lineage: Bacteria; Pseudomonadati; Bacteroidota; Flavobacteriia; Flavobacteriales; Flavobacteriaceae.
GCCUAGCCCCGAUAGCAGCGGAAAUCCUUUUUAUGGCGCAGCGCAGCGGAUCCAUAAAAAGAUUGCAGCGGAUAGCGGGAAAAAGC